RNAcentral lists this ribosomal RNA (468 nucleotides) under Clostridioides difficile. RNAcentral's name for it is "partial 23S ribosomal RNA". It matches the Rfam family "Bacterial large subunit ribosomal RNA", at positions 2455 to 2925 of the family's 2925-position model. Lineage: Bacteria; Bacillati; Bacillota; Clostridia; Peptostreptococcales; Peptostreptococcaceae. The record is from RNAcentral.
GAUAAAAGCUACCCUGGGGAUAACAGGCUUAUCUCCCCCAAGAGUCCACAUCGACGGGGAGGUUUGGCACCUCGAUGUCGGCUCAUCACAUCCUGGGGCUGUAGUAGGUCCCAAGGGUUGGGCUGUUCGCCCAUUAAAGUGGUACGCGAGCUGGGUUCAGAACGUCGUGAGACAGUUCGGUCCCUAUCCGUCGCAGGCGUAGGAAAUUUGAGAAGACCUGUCCUUAGUACGAGAGGACCGGGAUGGACGUACCUCUGGUGUACCAGUUGUUCUGCCAAGGGCAUGGCUGGGUAGCUAUGUACGGAAUGGAUAAGCGCUGAAAGCAUCUAAGCGCGAAGCCAACUUCAAGAUAAGAUUUCCCACCGCAAGGGUAAGACCCCAGAAAGACUAUCUGGUUGAUAGGUCGAAGGUGUAAGUGCAGCAAUGUAUUUAGCUUAUCGAUACUAAUAGGUCGAGGACUUGACCAAU